AACGCGAAGAACCUUACCAAAUCUUGACAUCCUCUGACAGCCAUAGAGAUAUGGUUUCCCUUCGGGGCAGAGUGACAGGUGGUGCAUGGUUGUCGUCAGCUCGUGUCGUGAGAUGUUGGGUUAAGUCCCGCAACGAGCGCAACCCUUAAGUUUAGUUGCCAUCAUUAAGUUGGGCACUCUAGGCUGACUGCCGGUGACAAACCGGAGGAAGGUGGGGACGACGUCAAAUCAUCAUGCCCCUUAUGAUUUGGGCUACACACGUGCUACAAUGGACAGGUUACAAAGGGCAGCGACGCCGCGAGGCCAAGCGAAUCCCAUAAAACUGUUCUCAGUUCGGAUUGGAGUCUGCAACUCGACUCCAUGAAGCUGGAAUCGCUAGUAAUCGUAGAUCAGCAUGCUACGGUGAAUACGUUCCCGGGUCUUGUACACACCG
Molecule: ribosomal RNA, 433 nt
Filed under: uncultured bacterium
Lineage: Bacteria
Description: bacterial SSU rRNA
Rfam family: Bacterial small subunit ribosomal RNA
Source: RNAcentral